Molecule: ribosomal RNA, 541 nt
Filed under: Magnaporthales sp. C54-416
Lineage: Eukaryota; Fungi; Ascomycota; Sordariomycetes; Magnaporthales
Description: partial 18S ribosomal RNA
Rfam family: 5.8S ribosomal RNA (bases 179-332)
Source: RNAcentral
UUUGAAGAAAAGUGAACAAGUCUCCGUGGGGACCAGGGGGGGAUCAUACGAUUGAAACUCCACCUUUGUGAACAUCCUCGUCGUUGUUGGCGGUGGCGCUUUUUUGAAAAGCCCAAACCGCCGGAGUUCCCAAACUCGGUUUUGUUUAGUGUAUCUCGAGCCGAAAACAAAUAAUCAAAACUUUCAACACCGGAUUUUUGGGUUCGGGCAUAGAUGAAGAACGCAGCGAAAUCCGAUAAGUAAUGUGAAUGGCAGAAUUCAGUGAAUCAUGGAAUCUUUGAACGCACAUUGCGCCCGCCGGUAUUCCGGCGGGCAUGCCUGUUCGAGCGUCAUUUCAACCCUCAAGCCAAGCUUGGUGUUGGGGCACCCGGGCCGCCUGGCCGGCCCGGGGCCCUCAAGUGUAUCGGCGGUCUCGUCGGGACUCUGAGCGCAGUAACUCGCGGUAAAACGCGCCUCGCUUGGUCUUGUCUCCGGCGGGCUCCGGCCGCUAAACCCCCCCUUCUCUCCCAGAGUGACCUCGGAUCAGGUAGGUACCCUUCCC